Vicia faba (fava bean) is the source of this 300-nucleotide non-coding RNA. NCBI's taxonomy places the organism in Eukaryota, Viridiplantae, Streptophyta, Magnoliopsida, Fabales, Fabaceae. The record is from the annotation of a GenBank genome assembly.
AGCAUUAACAACAAUUACUGGCACACGAAGAAGAAGAAAAGUUACAACAUCAACAAAUACCAAAAAAUAAAAAUAUGGGAAACGGUUACCAUCCGAGACGAGGCUGUCUCUGGAUUCAGGUUUACAGAACAGGGAAAUUGGAUAUUUUGCAGGUUUUCUUGGUUGCUUGUGGGCAGGUUUAUGUAGCAAGGUUAAAAGUGACAAAAGCUCUAGGUAGACAGCAAGUUUUUGUUGGUUUAUGGACAGUAAAAUGAUAGAAGUAGAAUUCCUUGCAUAAUGUAUACGGUAGUUCCAUAACAU